RNAcentral lists this ribosomal RNA (251 nucleotides) under uncultured prokaryote. Its description in RNAcentral is "partial 16S ribosomal RNA". It matches the Rfam family "Bacterial small subunit ribosomal RNA", at positions 524 to 774 of the family's 1533-position model. The record is from RNAcentral.
UACGGAGGAUGCGAGCGUUAUCCGGAUUUAUUGGGUUUAAAGGGUGCGUAGGCGGCUUAGUAAGUCAGCGGUGAAAUUUUGCAGCUUAACUGUAACAGUGCCGUUGAUACUGCCAGGCUAGGAUUUGGUUGCUGUGGGUGGAAUGUGUGGUGUAGCGGUGAAAUGCUUAGAUAUCACACAGAAUAUCGAUUGCGAAGGCAGCUCACAAAGCCAAGAUUGACGCUGAGGCACGAAAGUGUGGGGAUCAAACA